Molecule: long non-coding RNA, 1784 nt
Organism: Erigeron canadensis
Lineage: Eukaryota; Viridiplantae; Streptophyta; Magnoliopsida; Asterales; Asteraceae
Exons: 10
Source: RefSeq, a predicted model, not a curated record
GAAUUUUUUUCUUCUAUUACGGAUAAUACAUACACAAAGCAAGAAGUAGUGAAAAUGGAAGCGGAUGUGUUUAAAGCUCGAAAUCGGUAAUCCCACAAUGAAGUCAUGUUUCAUUAAAUUCAGGUUUCGGGUACCAAGUUUGCGCAUUGUUUGCAAAUUACAGACAGCGAAUUUGCACUUGGAGUUUUAGGAUAUUCUUUGGCUGCUUUGGCAGUGAACAACCAAGAAUGCAUAUAUGCGCUCCAUGAAACGUCUAAAUGAAACAAAGAUACAUGAAGACCAAAAAAUGGAUUUCUUUAAUAGUUUGUUAUUCGGGUUUUGCAUAAUCUUAUACUUCCAACUUUCAUGAGCUUUGAUCCUUGCAUUAGAAUUCACGACAUGAAGGAAUGAGACCUCCUCCAACACUAAAUGUAUUCCCUUCGCGGCCAUAUUUAUCUCAAGUUAUUGUUGAAAUUAAAUACUUUAGACUGCUAUAACCAAAGCUGGAGGCUUUGCAUCUCUCGGUGCACAUUUGACGUUUCAACCUACACUAGCUCAGUACUGACUCCCUUGCAAGUUGGAUGUCUAAUAUUCCAGCUAUAUCUCAUCCAAAGUUAUCUGGUAGUGCAACUGGUCUUGGUAGUCACUCUAUUUCAGCAGCGUUGAAGCACCUAAGCACCUAAUGUGUGGGUCAAACUGAUUAUUCACACCAUUCUUUGGAUUACCCAUAUGCAGAAUUUGAUCAUAUCAGUAAAUGAACAAGGCCCAUGGGUAUAACUGAUCAGGUUAAUCUGCCUGUUAACAUGCUGCCUGUCUCAUUUCCGGGUCUGGCCAGUCACAGUCAAGCUCUUAGUGCACCUGCCUAAAACAAUUACAAGGACUCUAAAUCAGGGUCAUCUACUAUGAGCAUGGACUUUUAUCUUAUUCAACAAACAUUACUCUUAGGUGCCAAGACAUUCAGUACACUACGAUUUGCUCAGCGUGCUAAGACAUUCAGUUGUACCAAUGCUGACAAACAACUUAUGUAUCGAUGUCAAUGAUCGUUUCUUAAGCAAUGAUGCUUACGGAGUUACGGGGCAAUAUUUGACUGAUUUACAUAUAAUUCGUAAUGAAUUGUAUAGAGAAAUCUGAUAUGAGGCACAUGGUUACUUUCUUGAGCAUCAUUCCAUGAACAUCGUUGGUGACUCCUAGGACAACGACGAUGGAAAAGUAAUGGUAUUUAAGCAAGGAUAAUAUCGAGAAUGGAAUACGGGAGUAGCUAAAUAGAGUGGUUUUCUUACAACCAAAUGACAUUUUAUGAGACAGGAAGAAAUUCUAUUUGACGGCAUGAUUCGACUAAGGGAUGGAGUUAUUGUAUAACAGUUACUUCUUGGACUAUUGUACUGUCUACAGUUGGUUCGGAUGUUGUGAUGCUCAUAAAUUUAUUCGGGGUACGCCUAAAUGGAAAAGGUUAAUGCAUGGUAUAGUUCUUACUAAAAUAUGGGUUGUAUGGCGAAGUCGGAACAAGCUGAUUUUUGAGAAUAAGUUGGUUAAUUGCAAUCAGGCGGUUCAAGAAGUGCAGGCUUUAAGCUUCUUAUGGAUUAGAUCACGGGCCAAAUGGACUAACUUGGACUGGGGUAGAUGGAAGCAUUUCAGAGUCUCUCAUUUGUGUUAAUAAGUUUAUGGUGUCUUGCUAUGGAAAUGUAGUCAAUUGGUGUCAAGAUCAUGUUGUACUUUGGUGUGAAUUUGAUACUGUUUGUAUUUUGGGUUUUAGCAUCCUGCUGACCCAUUUAUAUUAAUAGAUUCUUUUGACUUGUUUCCGAUUA